RNAcentral lists this ribosomal RNA (2098 nucleotides) under Lathyrus oleraceus (garden pea). RNAcentral's name for it is "bacterial LSU rRNA". It matches the Rfam family "Bacterial large subunit ribosomal RNA", at positions 1 to 2105 of the family's 2925-position model. Lineage: Eukaryota; Viridiplantae; Streptophyta; Magnoliopsida; Fabales; Fabaceae. The record is from RNAcentral.
UCAAACGAGGAAAGGCUUAUGGUGGAUACCUAGGCACCCAGAGACGAGGAAGGGCGUAGUAAGUGACAAAAUGCUUCGGGGAGAUAAAAAUAAGCAUAUAUCUGAGGAUUCCCAAUAGGUCAACCUUUCGAACUGCUGUUGAAUUCACGAGUAGGCAACAAACAACCUGGCGAACUGAAACAUCUUAGUAGACAGAGGAAAAGAAAGAAAAAGCGAUUCCCGUAGCAACAGCGAGCGAAAUGGGAGCAACCUAAACCGUGAAAACGGGAUUGUGGGAGAGAAAUACAAGAGUCGUGCUGCUAGGCGAAGCAGUCAAAUGUUUCACCCUAUAUGGUGAAAGUCCAGUAGCCGAAAGCAUCACUAGCUUAUGCUCUGACCCGAGUAACAUGGGGCACGUGAAAUCCCGUGUGAAUCAGCAAGGACCACCUUGCAAGGUUAAAUACUCAUGGGUGACCGAUAGUAAAGUAGUGUCAUGAGGGAAAGGUGAAAAGAAUCCCUGGCGGGGAGUGAAACAGAACAUGAAAUCGUAAGCUCCUAAGCUGUGGGAGGAGCUAGGGAUUUGACCGCGUGGUUGUUGAAGAAUGAGCCGACGACUCAUAGGCAGUGGCUUGGUUAAGGGAAACCACCGAAGACGUAGCGAAAGCAAAUCUUCAUAGGGCUAUUGGCACUACUUAUGGACCCGACCCUGGGUGAUCUAUCCAUGACCACGAUGAAGUUUAGGUGAAACUAAGUGGAUGCCUGAACUGACUGAUGUUGAAAAAUCAGUGGAUGAGUUAUGGUUAGCAGGGAAAUGUCAAUUGAACCCAGAGCUAGCUGAUUCUCCCUGAAAUGCAUUGAGGCACAACAGUUAACUGGACAUAUAUGGGUAAAGCACUGUUUCAGCGCAGGCCACGGGAGCGGUACAAAAUCGAGGCAAACUAUGAAUACUAGAUAUAACCCCGACGGGUCAAGGUCGGUCAGUGAGACGAUGGGGGAUAAGCUUCAUCGUCGAGAGGGAAACAACCCAAACCACCAGCUAAGGCACCUAAGUGAUCGCUCAAUGAUAAAGUAGGUAGGAGUGCAGAUACAUCCAGGAGGUUUUCCUAAAAGCAGCCACCCUUCCAAGAGUGCGUAAUAGCUCACUGAUCGAGCGCUCUUGCACCGAAGAUGAACGGGGCUAAGCGAUUUUCCGAAGUUGUGGGAUGUAAAAAUGAAUCGGUAGGGGAGUGUUCCACCUUAGAAAGAAGUACUCGCGCGAGCAAGGUUGGACGAAGCGGAAGUGGGAAUGUCAGCUUGAGUAACGAAAACAUUGGUGAGAAUCUAAUGCCCCAAAAACCUAAGGAUUCCUCCACAAGGUUUGUCCAUGGAGGGUAAGUCAGGACCUAAGAUCAGGCCGAAAGGAGUAGUCGAUGGGUAACAUGUUAAUAUUCUUGUACUACCCCUUGUUGGUCCCGAGGGACGGAGGAGGGUAGGUUAGUCGAAAGAUGGUUUUCGAUUCAAGAACAAAAGAUGACUCCUUGUUUUUUCUAGGGUAAGUAAGGGGUAGAGAAAAUUCCUCGAUCCAAAAUUCGAGUACAAGUAUGAGGCACACACUUUAGCGCUAAAGUAAUUGAUACCAUACUCCCGGGAAAAGUUCGAACAACCUACAACAAGAGGGUACAUGUACCGGAAACUGACACAGGAGGGUAGGUAGAUAAUACCUAGGGGCGCGAGUCAACUCUCUCUAAGGAACUCGGCAAAAUAGCCUUGUAACAUCAGGAAAAGGGAUGCCUCCUCACAAAGGGGGUCGUAGUGACUAGGCUCGGGCGACUGUUUACCAAAAACACAUGUCUCCACAAAUUCGUAAGACCAUGUAUAGGGGUUAAUGCAUGUCUAGUGCCGGAAGGUUAAGGAAGUUGGUGACUUGAUGAAAGGGAAACAAGAGACCGAAGCCUCAGUGAAUGGAAACCAUAACUAUUACGGUCCUAAGGUAGCGAAAUUCCUUGUCGGGUAAGUUCCGACCCACACGAAAGGUGUAACGAUCUGGGCAUUGUCUCGGAGAGAGACUCGGUGAAAUAGACAUGUCUGUGAAUAUGCGGACUACCUGCACCUGGACAGAAAGACCCUAUGAAGCUUCACU